GAGGGUAUAGCUCAGUGGUAGAGUUCUACAUGCCUAGCAUGCAUAAGGUCCUGGGUUCAAUCCCUAGUACCUCCA
This 75-nucleotide transfer RNA is filed under the name Camelus dromedarius (Arabian camel). It matches the Rfam family "tRNA". Rfam says of the family: Transfer RNA (tRNA) molecules are approximately 80 nucleotides in length. Their secondary structure includes four short double-helical elements and three loops (D, anti-codon, and T loops). Further hydrogen bonds mediate the characteristic L-shaped molecular structure. tRNAs have two regions of fundamental functional importance: the anti-codon, which is responsible for specific mRNA codon recognition, and the 3' end, to which the tRNAs corresponding amino acid is attached (by aminoacyl-tRNA synthetases). tRNAs cope with the degeneracy of the genetic code in two manners: having more than one tRNA (with a specific anti-codon) for a particular amino acid; and 'wobble' base-pairing, i.e. permitting non-standard base-pairing at the 3rd anti-codon position. Lineage: Eukaryota; Metazoa; Chordata; Mammalia; Artiodactyla; Camelidae. RNAcentral also lists the same sequence under 1 other name. The record is from Rfam by way of RNAcentral.